RNAcentral lists this ribosomal RNA (611 nucleotides) under uncultured bacterium. RNAcentral describes it as "bacterial SSU rRNA". It matches the Rfam family "Bacterial small subunit ribosomal RNA", at positions 202 to 814 of the family's 1533-position model. The record is from RNAcentral.
UAAAGAAUUUCGGUCAUCGAUGGGGAUGCGUUCCAUUAGCUUGUUGGCGGGGUAACGGCCCACCAAGGCAUCGAUGGAUAGGGGUUCUGAGAGGAAGGUCCCCCACAUUGGAACUGAGACACGGUCCAAACUCCUACGGGAGGCAGCAGUGAGGAAUAUUGGUCAAUGGGCGCUAGCCUGAACCAGCCAAGUAGCGUGAAGGAUGACUGCCCUAUGGGUUGUAAACUUCUUUUAUAUGGGAAUAAAGUGUAGUAUGUAUACUGCUUUGCAUGUACCUUAUGAAUAAGGAUCGGCUAACUCCGUGCCAGCAGCCGCGGUAAUACGGAGGAUCCGAGCGUUAUCCGGAUUUAUUGGGUUUAAAGGGAGCGUAGGCGGGUUGUUAAGUCAGUUGUGAAAGUUUGCGGCUCAACCGUAAAAUUGCAGUUGAUACUGGCAUCCUUGAGUACAGUAGAGGUAGGCGGAAUUCGUGGUGUAGCGGUGAAAUGCUUAGAUAUCACGAAGAACUCCGAUUGCGAAGGCAGCCUGCUGGACUGUAACUGACGCUGAUGCUCGAAAGCGUGGGUAUCGAACAGGAUUAGAUACCCUGGUAGUCCACACAGUAAACGAUGAAU